Molecule: long non-coding RNA, 1703 nt
Organism: Esox lucius (northern pike)
Lineage: Eukaryota; Metazoa; Chordata; Actinopteri; Esociformes; Esocidae
Source: Ensembl
CACUAGCAUGUCUUUCAUCCUCCCUCUCUGUCUCUCUCUCUGUAUCAAAUUUGUAGGCUAGCAUGUCUCUGUGGUUUUUGUACAUUAAUACCACUUCAUGCCACUGUUGAGAAGGAAAUAAAUGUGAGCGGAAAUUCUACACCAAUCUGGUCACAGACACAUAACCUAAGAACUGCCAAGAACUCUGACCCAGAAAAACCAAGAAAGAAUGACUAAUUAGGGGCAGAAAAGAUUGUGUCCCAUGGCAUACAAGGGAAUAUUGCAUUUCUCCCCUCCCAACAUUUAUGCCUUUUUAAGGUAAUGGGUCCCUACCAAAAACACACACCAACUGUGAAGCAGCUUGAGUUAAGUUACAGAGGUUUAGAGGAGGAAGACCUAGGUGUUGAGUUACGGAUGUUCAAAGGAGAAGAGGGUGUUGAGUUAGGGAGGUUCAGAGGAGGAAGAAGGUGUUGAGUUAGGGAGGUUCAGAGGAGAAAGAACGUGAUGAGUUAGGGAGGUUCAGAGGAGAAAGAACGUGAUGAGUUAGGGAGGUUCAGAGGAGGAAGAAGGUGUUGAGUUAGGGAGGUUCAGAGGAGGAAGACCUAGGUGUUGAGUUACGGAUGUUCAAAGGAGAAGAGGGUGUUGAGUUAGGGAGGUUCAGAGGAGGAAGAAGGUGUUGAGUUAGGGAGGUUCAGAGGAGGAAGACCUAGGUGUUGAGUUACGGAUGUUCAAAGGAGAAGAGGGUGUUGAGUUAGGGAGGUUCAGAGGAGGAAGAAGGUGUUGAGUGAGGGAGGUUCGGAGGAGGAAGAAGGUGUUGACUUAGGGAGGUUCGGAGGAGAAAGAAGGUGUUGAGUUAAGGAGGUUCGGAGGAGGAAGAAGGUGUUGAGUUAAGGAGGUUCGGAGGAGGAAGAAGGUGUUGAGUUAGGGAGGUUUGGAGGAGGAAGAAGGGCUGAGUUGGAAGGGUGAGUUGUUUAGGUCAGUGGAUGAGUAAUAACUUUAUACUGCUGCACUCAUACAUCAUUUAUGGAUGACUGUUUGGAAUGGGUGUCUAUGUCCUUUAGGGCUGGUGUUAGAGUGCCAUUAACAGUGUGUUUCUGUGCCUGUGUGUCUGCUAAUAAAGAACUGGGUUUAAUUUCCUGACACUGUAUCCAGUUAGACCUCGAUGUGCUAAACUCUGUCUCACCAAUCCCUUCCUGGACUGUAUUCCCCUCAUCUAGCUCAUCUGCAUUUCUAACAUGUUCCUGUCAAUAGAAAAAGAUAACGAUUAUAAAAAUGGGGAUAAAGGUAUACCACUUCAUAUAAUCACUUCCAAAAUGAUAGACAUAAAUAAUGUAACUGAACACUGUUAAUUACAUCAAUAAUUCUAGAUGGUCAACUAAAAAGACCCAUUUCUCAUAUUAUAUAUGUACAGCAUUUCCCAAAACAAUGUACGCCAGAAUGACACCAAACCCACCACUGAUGUGUGACCAAAUCAUUUUAUUUAUACCUAACCAUAGAACCUGGUACCAAUCCAAGGCCCAAUAGUUUUUAACAACUCCGUUCGUUAGUUUCCUUCAAUAAAGGCUUGUUGUUCAUAUCUACCAAAUAUGCUAUUGGAGUGUAGGUGGAGCCAAAUUCUAGAUUUGGAUACUCAGAGAUGCCAAAAUGCCUCCUCCGUAGCUGUCCGAAUGUGGCUAUUUGACUCUUCUUUGCUUUCUGUGCUUGAAGAUGACAAUGCACUCGGG